This 497-nucleotide ribosomal RNA is filed under the name uncultured bacterium. RNAcentral describes it as "partial 16S ribosomal RNA". It matches the Rfam family "Bacterial small subunit ribosomal RNA", at positions 28 to 507 of the family's 1533-position model. The record is from RNAcentral.
GAUGAACGCUGGCGGCGUGCCUAAUACAUGCAAGUCGAGCGAACAGACGAGGAGCUUGCUCCUCUGACGUUAGCGGCGGACGGGUGAGUAACACGUGGAUAACCUACCUAUAAGACUGGGAUCACUUCGGGAAACCGGAGAUAAUACCGGAUAAUCUAUUGAACCGCAUGGUUCAAUAGUGAAAGACGGUUUUGCUGUCACUUAUAGAUGGAUCCGCGCCGCAUGAGCUAGUUGUUAAGGUCACGGCUUAUCAAGGCAACGAUGCGUAACCGACCUGAGAGGGUGAUCGGCCACACUGGAACUGAGACACGGUCCAGACUCCUACGAUAGGCAGCAGUAGGGAAUCUUCCGCAAUGGGCGAAAGCCUGACGGAGCAAGGCCGCGCGAGUGAUGAAGGUCUUCGGAGCGUAAAACUCUGUUAUUAGGGAAGAACAAAUGUGUAAGUAACUAUGCACGUCGUGACGGUACCUAAUCAGAAAGCCACGGCUAACUACGUG